GGAGGUUCUCGGGUGACACACUCCGAAAUCAGGCUCCCUCCUCUCUAGUUCCAGGUGCGUCACCCGAGAACCGCA
Non-coding RNA from Myotis lucifugus (little brown bat), 75 nucleotides. Lineage: Eukaryota; Metazoa; Chordata; Mammalia; Chiroptera; Vespertilionidae. The record is from Rfam.